RNAcentral lists this ribosomal RNA (433 nucleotides) under uncultured bacterium. Its description in RNAcentral is "partial 16S ribosomal RNA". It matches the Rfam family "Bacterial small subunit ribosomal RNA", at positions 29 to 507 of the family's 1533-position model. The record is from RNAcentral.
AACGAACGCUGGCGGCAGGCCUAACACAUGCAAGUCGAGCGAGAUCUUCGGGUCUAGCGGCGGACGGGUGAGUAACGCGUGGGAAUAUGCCUCUUGGUACGGAAUAGCCUCGGGAAACUGGGAGUAAUACCGUAUGUGCCCUUUGGGGGAAAGAUUUAUCGCCAAGAGAUUAGCCCGCGUUGGAUUAGGUAGUUGGUGGGGUAAUGGCCUACCAAGCCGACGAUCCAUAGCUGGUUUGAGAGGAUGAUCAGCCACACUGGGACUGAGACACGGCCCAGACUCCUACGGGAGGCAGCAGUGGGGAAUCUUAGACAAUGGGCGCAACCCUGAUCUAGCCAUGCCGCGUGAGUGAUGAAGGCCUUAGGGUUGUAAAGCUCUUUCAGCUGGGAAGAUAAUGACGGUACCAGCAGAAGAAGCCCCGGCUAACUCCGUG